Molecule: ribosomal RNA, 476 nt
Filed under: uncultured bacterium
Lineage: Bacteria
Description: bacterial SSU rRNA
Rfam family: Bacterial small subunit ribosomal RNA
Source: RNAcentral
ACUCCUACGGGAGGCAGCAGUGGGGAAUAUUGCACAAUGGGCGCAAGCCUGAUGCAGCCAUGCCGCGUGUGUGAAGAAGGCCUUCGGGUUGUAAAGCACUUUCAGUCGUGAGGAAGGUAGUGUAGUUAAUAGCUGUAUUAUUUGACGUUAGCGACAGAAGAAGGCACCGGCUAACUCCGUGCCAGCAGCCGCGGUAAUACAGAGGGUGCAAGCGUUAAUCGGAUUUACUGGGCGUAAAGCGCGCGUAGGUGGCUAAUUAAGUCAAAUGUGAAAUCCCCCGAGCUUAACUUGGGAAUUGCAUUCGAUACUGGUUAGCUAGAGUAUGGGAGAGGAUGGUAGAAUUCCAGGUGUAGCGGUGAAAUGCGUAGAGAUCUGGAGGAAUACCGAUGGCGAAGGCAGCCAUCUGGCCUAAUACUGACACUGAGGUGCGAAAGCAUGGGGAGCAAACAGGAUUAGAUACCCUGGUAGCUACGAGU